AUUGAACGCUGGCGGCAGGCCUAACACAUGCAAGUCGAACGCGAAAAGUCCUUCGGGAUGAGUAGAGUGGCGGACGGGUGAGUAACGCGUAGGAAUCUGCCCUGUAGUGGGGGAUAACGUUCCGAAAGGAACGCUAAUACCGCAUACGCCCCACGGGGGAAAGCGGGGGAUCUUCGGACCUCGCGCUACAGGAUGAGCCUGCGUCGGAUUAGCUAGUUGGUAGGGUAAAGGCCUACCAAGGCGACGAUCCGUAGCUGGUCUGAGAGGAUGAUCAGCCACACCGGAACUGAGACACGGUCCGGACUCCUACGGGAGGCAG
This 319-nucleotide ribosomal RNA is filed under the name uncultured Pseudomonadota bacterium. RNAcentral's name for it is "bacterial SSU rRNA". It matches the Rfam family "Bacterial small subunit ribosomal RNA", at positions 30 to 351 of the family's 1533-position model. The record is from RNAcentral. Lineage: Bacteria; Pseudomonadati; Pseudomonadota.